Molecule: long non-coding RNA, 1086 nt
Organism: Ictalurus punctatus (channel catfish)
Lineage: Eukaryota; Metazoa; Chordata; Actinopteri; Siluriformes; Ictaluridae
Source: Ensembl
CGCCAUGGAAACCCAGGGUGAUAAAAAGUGAGCCGCAUAUCUUAGCGAUGCGGAGUUAGAGGUUAUUAUGAAUGUUUAUGAGGAAUAUAACAAAACAAAACAAAAAAAAAGGAACUGCUGCAUCGGACCGAGAGUUGGUUUGGAAAAAAGUAACAGAUCAAGUAAAUGCUCGUUACGACAUGGCGAAAUCAGCGCUGCAGUUCACAACGUGUAGUGCCUCCCAGGGACAUGGCGGAAGAGGACUACACUUCCCAGCCACACCCGCACUCGAGUUCGCUGGAGUUCUGAUUACGAACACCUGCAGACAUCUAAAGUUAUAUAAGGGCCUCGUUAGCAUCAGCCGCUUGCGAAGUAACCGCUCAGCAGCCUCGUCUCUGUUGGUUAACCAAGCCUGAUUAUUAUUGGAAGUGUCUUCCCGGUUCUCGAUUUCCACUUGUCUUUUGACUACACUUUUGCCUACGCCCCUGUCAACCUGUUUUACCUGCAUAAUCCCGACUCUCAUCUCGUUCCGUGUUCCACCUGGUGUCCGUCACACGUCAUCUCCUCGCCUGCCCACGUUUGUCUCCGUCAGCGUCACGUAACAAUGCUUGCUUAUGGACACAUUGUAUUAAUUGACCCUCCUGCAACAGCAGAUCCUACCACAGAUGAAAAUGAUUAUUGUCUUCAGCUGCCUGCAAAGAAGCUGUACAAGGUACAUCUUCAAAUGCAAAUGAUAAAAAUUGGCAUGGAGAUGGAACUUCUGCAACUUUAAAUGGAGGGAAAAAGGCUAACAUAAAAAGGACACUAUUCAAAAGUGCACUCCAUGCUCCGUCAGCUCUCUGAAACAAACUAACCUGGAACAUAACCUGCUUCAGAUAGUAAGUUGCUGUGGCUACUUGCAUACCCUGAAAAUUUCCUCCAUUUUUUGGAACAGACAUUUGAGGUUAUUUGUUUACUCUGAGUAAACUUACCUAGCCCCACACAAAUUUAUGGAGAUACUAGAGAUCCAGAUCCUUUCUGCCUCUGGAUGGAGCUCAAAUCUUCUCUAAUUCCAGACUGCUGGAACUACGGCUGGCCAUACAGACUUCAUAUAAAUCCAUAAUGAAC